Molecule: long non-coding RNA, 820 nt
Filed under: Olea europaea subsp. europaea
Lineage: Eukaryota; Viridiplantae; Streptophyta; Magnoliopsida; Lamiales; Oleaceae
Source: RNAcentral
CACACAUUUCACAUCAAUACACUAUUCGAGAAUGUAUUAUAACCAAAAUAAUGUGGCUCAAACACCCACUAAAAUUAGCCUAGAGAAUCAUCCCAGCCUGCUUUUGAGUUGGCUUGUUUGAAGAGACAUGGUACCAAUAGUGGGGCAGGGAAAACCACACAUAUUCAGGACGUAUUUCGGACCCAUUUGGCAAAGCUUUUAAAAAAUCAAAAGCUGAUUCUAUGAUUACAAGUUUGCAUUUGAACAUGUUUGAACAAUCUUCUAAAAAUGUUUUGUCUAAUUAGAAGAGCUGACAUGAAAUAACUUUCUCAAAAAAUUCUUUUAUAAAAAGCAAAAAACUCUGCCAAAUCAAUCCUUUGUCUUUUACAAGAAGCUGAAGCUAUUCCAAAGAGGCUUCACUUAGUUUUAACUAGAUGACCUUGACUCACGUCCAAGAUAUUAACACAAAAUAACAAAUUUGUAACGGUAAAGAUUAAAAUUUUCGAAAUUUUAUGUUUUCCAAAAGUUCAUGUGGCGGUCUAUAAAAGAAACUUUCAAGUUUUACAACACACUUCACACACUGUUUGUAGAUUGCUUCGCCUUCUUAUUUGGGGUUCCUAGUUCCACAAGCAUGGUCAGCAGGGCUUCACACAUUUCACAGGCAUCCGGUUCAUUAGGGUCCCUCUUCCAAGAUGAGUACACCAUCCACGCAUGAUCAAGUUUCCGGUCAGGUUUAACCACAACUGAACCUGGAACUUCCGCAUCACGGCAUGUCACAAGACCAUCGCUCUUCUCCCCGUAUCUUAGUCGCAGAUGGAAUGCACAGAGCGCCGUGGCAGCA